Molecule: ribosomal RNA, 484 nt
Filed under: uncultured bacterium
Lineage: Bacteria
Description: partial 16S ribosomal RNA
Rfam family: Bacterial small subunit ribosomal RNA
Source: RNAcentral
AUUGAACGCUGGCGGCAGGCCUAACACAUGCAAGUCGAGCGGAUGAAGGGAGCUUGCUCCUGGAUUCAGCGGCGGACGGGUGAGUAAUGCCUAGGAAUCUGCCUGGUAGUGGGGGAUAACGUCCGGAAACGGGAGCUAAUACCGCAUACGUCCUGAGGGAGAAAGUGGGGGACCUUCGGACCUCACGCUAUCAGAUGAGCCUAGGUCGGAUUAGCUAGUUGGUGGGGUAAAGGCCUACCAAGGCGACGAUCCGUAACUGGUCUGAGAGGAUGAUCAGUCACACUGGAACUGAGACACGGUCCAGACUCCUACGGGAGGCAGCAGUGGGGAAUAUUGGACAAUGGGCGAAAGCCUGAUCCAGCCAUGCCGCGUGUGUGAAGAAGGUCUUCGGAUUGUAAAGCACUUUAAGUUGGGAGGAAGGGCAGUAAGUUAAUACCUUGCUGUUUUGACGUUACCAACAGAAUAAGCACCGGCUAACUUCGUG